Molecule: long non-coding RNA, 227 nt
Filed under: Homo sapiens (human)
Lineage: Eukaryota; Metazoa; Chordata; Mammalia; Primates; Hominidae
Description: non-protein coding lnc-CDH5-16:1
Source: RNAcentral
UUUCAUUACUACUUUUAACAACUUAGAUAACUAUAUAUUUGGUUUUGCAGCUAAGAAAUGGUCUUUAACGAAAGUGAGUUUAAAUGCCAGUGAGCAGAGACAAUGUAUUCAAAAAAGACUCCAGUUUCAGCUCAAACAUUCCCCUAGGAAUAAUUUUGGCAAGAGAUCUAUUCUGAAUUCGUGGUAGGCUGGGGGCAAAGAUGAGAGAAAGAAGAAAAGGGAAGUCU